GCGCUCGUAGCUCAGUGGAAACAGAGCAAGGAGCUUCUACCUCCUGGGUCGCUGGUUCGAAUCCAGCCGAGCGCU
Molecule: transfer RNA, 75 nt
Filed under: Ensifer meliloti
Lineage: Bacteria; Pseudomonadati; Pseudomonadota; Alphaproteobacteria; Hyphomicrobiales; Rhizobiaceae
Description: Sinorhizobium meliloti tRNA-Arg
Rfam family: tRNA
About the family: Transfer RNA (tRNA) molecules are approximately 80 nucleotides in length. Their secondary structure includes four short double-helical elements and three loops (D, anti-codon, and T loops).
Source: RNAcentral